GCGGACGACGGCGAGAGUGGCAAAAGGGGGAGCAACAAGUACGCAUCACAGAUCUUGAUGGGCUGGCGGAGGAAGAUGUCGCGGGAGGCGUCCGCGGCACUGGUCGGCGUGCGAUCAGCACUGCAGAUCUUGAUGGGCUGGCAGCACUGGAUGAUGUCACCGAGGAGCGUGUUGUCCAUGUUGCUGUUGCCGCCUGCGGUGGAGUGGGGAUGCUGUGGAGUGGGGAGAUGGGGAGAAUAGCGGCGGUCGAUGGGUGAGAUGGAGGAAAAGGGGUGCGGCCGUGUCGCCUAUGCGGGGCAGGGGGCGGCGUGGUUGAGGCCUGCAGCGGCGCGGCGAUCGCUGCCACCGUUGGGGAGUGAGGAUGGGGUAGAGGUCGGCAGGGGUCACGGGGAGUGGGUGAGAGAGGAGAAUGGGGUGGAGGGCUACUGGGCUGGAGGCGUGGAGCAUGCCAGUGCGGAGAGGUGUGGGCCGGUGCGGGUGAGUGAUAGGCAGGCCGGUGUGGCAGUAGCUGUGCUUUGUGGGUCAAAUUCGGAGCUCCAUGGGUCCCGAGGGGGAAAUCUUUAACCCGGCUCCGCACCCGCCAUGUGUUCCGAACCCACCCCCACCCCCGUUGGGUUUGAAACCCGCAUGUCUCGGGUCCAGACCCACCCGAUUGCCAUCCCUAACGCCCAUGCUGCAAUAUAAGACUUCCAAGAACAUAGCCAGCCUCUAGAAGAUCAACAAGGCCUUUUUGAAAAUCCACACCAUGUGGGAGACUUUAACAUACCAUCAGAUAAAAUGAAUGGUUGCGAGAACAUUGUUUCAAAACAAAAAGAGUGAGAACUAAACUAAACUCCAUCGUGAUUACUUUCAUGCUAUAGCUUUUCAGGUGAUUUGGUUUUUAUUCCCUUCGUUCCAAAUUGUAUGUCGUUUUGGUUUCUUAGUUCAUAGAUAAUAAUAAAAUCUAUGAAAGGAGGGAGUAUUAAUCACACUUGGUGAUCGCUUGACCCUGAUCCAGCUAAUUAGGUCAACUAUUCCCUUUAUUUUGCUAUAUCCCUUCCCUUUAUUUUGCUAUAUCCCUUCCUGUCCCUCUCACGUAUCCCCCUUCCCUUCAUCAACUAUACGAUCAUAUCGUUUCACCCAGACACAUUCGUCGUCCUCCCUUCUCCUUUUCCAUUUGCAUUUGCUAGCCAAUCCUUCUCUGUUUUUCCAUAGUGGUGGCUCAAAUUGCAAAUUUUGCUGAAGCCAGUUGCUGCUAAUGUCGCGUGAGUGACACUGGUUGUUCCGCCUGCCAUUGUCUAACACCUU
This 1287-nucleotide long non-coding RNA is filed under the name Setaria viridis. Its description in RNAcentral is "long non-coding RNA (SVIR_LNC005037)". Lineage: Eukaryota; Viridiplantae; Streptophyta; Magnoliopsida; Poales; Poaceae. The record is from RNAcentral.